This 91-nucleotide transfer RNA is filed under the name Candidatus Bathyarchaeota archaeon. RNAcentral's name for it is "tRNA-Val". It matches the Rfam family "tRNA". Rfam says of the family: Transfer RNA (tRNA) molecules are approximately 80 nucleotides in length. The record is from RNAcentral. Lineage: Archaea; Thermoproteati; Candidatus Bathyarchaeota.
GGGCCGGUGGUCUAGCUGGCUAACCAAUAAAGGGCCAAGGGACGUCGCCCUCACACGGCGAAGGUCACCGGUUCAAAUCCGGUCCGGCCCA